RNAcentral lists this unclassified non-coding RNA (349 nucleotides) under fungal sp. RNAcentral's name for it is "partial internal transcribed spacer region". The stretch from base 1 to 46 matches the Rfam family "Eukaryotic small subunit ribosomal RNA", at positions 1786 to 1831 of the family's 1831-position model. The record is from RNAcentral. Lineage: Eukaryota; Fungi.
AAGUCGUAACAAGGUUUCCGUAGGUGAACCUGCGGAAGGAUCAUUAUCACGUAUCCAAACGUAUAAACCAAUGUGCACCUCUAAUUCCUCCUCUGGAAAUGAAGUGGCAGAGAAGUUGAUAUUCUGAUUCAUGGUCUUUCAGAAUUCUCUGUCUUGAAUCUCUUUAUUGAGUUUCAGCCUUCUACUCCGGGAGUCGUAUCAAACCAUGCUUGUUUUACUAAACAACUUGUACCUUUCUGAACUAACUUUGGUUGGAAAAAAUAACAGUAUCCUCGGAUGCUUGUUGUUUUUGAUAACCUUGAUUUAUAUAAACUCUGAACUACUCUUAACAACGGAUAUCUUGGUUCUC